RNAcentral lists this ribosomal RNA (278 nucleotides) under Ruminococcus champanellensis 18P13 = JCM 17042. RNAcentral describes it as "partial 16S ribosomal RNA". It matches the Rfam family "Bacterial small subunit ribosomal RNA", at positions 502 to 776 of the family's 1533-position model. The record is from RNAcentral. Lineage: Bacteria; Bacillati; Bacillota; Clostridia; Eubacteriales; Oscillospiraceae.
UAUGUGUGUGCAGCAGCCGCGGUAAUACGUAGGGAGCGAGCGUUGUCCGGAAUUACUGGGUGUAAAGGGAGCGUAGGCGGGAUCGCAAGUCAGAUGUGAAAACUAUGGGCUUAACCCAUAAACUGCAUUUGAAACUGUGGUUCUUGAGUGAAGUAGAGGUAAGCGGAAUUCCUAGUGUAGCGGUGAAAUGCGUAGAUAUUAGGAGGAACAUCAGUGGCGAAGGCGGCUUACUGGGCUUUAACUGACGCUGAGGCUCGAAAGCGUGGGGAGCAAACAGG